CAGACCAGUGGUGAAGAUUGGUGGCAUAGGAGUCAUGGAUGAUGAAAACAUAUGUCUGAAACUCGGAGGUCCAA
Molecule: small nucleolar RNA, 74 nt
Organism: Diceros bicornis minor
Lineage: Eukaryota; Metazoa; Chordata; Mammalia; Perissodactyla; Rhinocerotidae
Product: small nucleolar RNA SNORD113/SNORD114 family
Exons: 1
Source: RefSeq, a predicted model, not a curated record